UACGUAGGUGGCGAGCGUUGUCCGGAUUUACUGGGCGUAAAGGGAGCGUAGGCGGACUUUUAAGUGAGAUGUGAAAUACCCGGGCUCAACUUGGGUGCUGCAUUUCAAACUGGAAGUCUAGAGUGCAGGAGAGGAGAAUGGAAUUCCUAGUGUAGCGGUGAAAUCCGUAGAGAUUAGGAAGAACACCAGUGGCGAAGGCGAUUCUCUGGACUGUAACUGACGCUGAGGCUCGAAAGCGUGGGGAGCAAACAGGAUUAGAUACCCUGGUA
RNAcentral lists this ribosomal RNA (269 nucleotides) under uncultured prokaryote. RNAcentral's name for it is "partial 16S ribosomal RNA". It matches the Rfam family "Bacterial small subunit ribosomal RNA", at positions 524 to 792 of the family's 1533-position model. The record is from RNAcentral.